Long non-coding RNA from Daphnia pulicaria, 150 nucleotides. RefSeq lists it as uncharacterized. The record is from RefSeq and is a predicted model, not a curated record. The transcript has 5 exons. Lineage: Eukaryota; Metazoa; Arthropoda; Branchiopoda; Diplostraca; Daphniidae.
UUAGCCGUUUAGCGUUCAACAUUGAAAAUUUUAUUUUUAAAUUUAAGACUUAAACACAUUAAAAGUUAAUAGAAAGAUAAGAGAAUUGAAUGAAACAGAUUGUCCCCACGGCAUGCCAUAGGAGAGUAUGGAUUUACGGAAAUGUUAUUG